AUAAAUUCCAUGUGAGACAUCAGGAAAUGUCCUGGGGUGAGCAGUGCCCUGCACACAUCAGUGCUUUGGUCAAGAAUGUCAUUACAUGGAGGACCUUUCUGAAUGUAUAACCACCAUAUUCCAGUGAAUAUUUUGCUUGUUUGUCCAUAUCAGAAGGAGCCCAAAGAGCAGCAGACAAAAUGACUUUUGGAGACUUCGAGACAAAAGAAUAACUCUUAUUCUGUCUGAAACUUCAGUCAGUGGAAGUCCUGCAGGCCCAGGAGCCUGUGCUGCUGGGACAGCUCCCCCACAGCAGAGCAGCUCUUGCAGGGAGCUUUAUUUCCCUUGCAGUUCUGUCCCUUUUUCAUUUUAAGGUGUAACACUGUAACUGGCUGUACAGAGCCUGGAAACACCCGAACAGCAGAGAGGAUUAUUUCAGGAGCCACCUUCAGUUAUUCAUAUGAAGAAACAGACCUAAAUCAGGUAAAUAUUUUAGGAUACAGAUUAACACUUUUG
Passer montanus (Eurasian tree sparrow) is the source of this 495-nucleotide long non-coding RNA. RefSeq lists it as uncharacterized. NCBI's taxonomy places the organism in Eukaryota, Metazoa, Chordata, Aves, Passeriformes, Passeridae. The transcript is spliced from 3 exons. The record is from RefSeq and is a predicted model, not a curated record.